Molecule: long non-coding RNA, 1201 nt
Filed under: Monodelphis domestica (gray short-tailed opossum)
Lineage: Eukaryota; Metazoa; Chordata; Mammalia; Didelphimorphia; Didelphidae
Description: lncRNA (ENSMODG00000043256.1)
Source: RNAcentral
CUUUUUCAAUCUUUGGAACCUUGCUCCCCUGGUUGAUCAGCCCAUUCUUCUCCUACAGGGUCCCACCUUCAUUCUGGAGGGACAUUGACUCUUUCAACAUCGAAGUGGAUGGUAGAUUUGGAGGGCAAAUCCCUGGGUUUGAGUCUUUCUUUUCUCUCUUCUCUCUUCUCUCUUCUCUCUUCUCUCUUCUCUCUUCUCUCUUCUCUCUUCUCUCUUCUCUCUUCUCUCUUCUCUCUUCUCUCUUCUCUCUUCUCUCUUCUCUCUUCUCUCUUCUCUCUUCUCUCUUCUCUCUUCUCUUCUCUUCUCUUCUCUUCUCUUCUCUUCUCUUCUCUUCUCUUCUCUUCUCUUCUCUUCUCUUCUCUUCUCGCUUCCUUCCUUGCUUCCUUCCUUGCUUCCUUCCUUGCUUCCUUCCUUGCUUCCUUCCUUGCUUCCUUCCUUGCUUCCUUCCUUCCUUCCUUUUUCUCUCUCUUUCUUUCUUUCUUUCUUUCUUUCUUUCUUUCUUUCUUUCUUUCUUUCUUUCUUUCUUUCUUUCUUUCUUUCUUUCUUUCUUUCUUUCUUUCUUUCUUUCUUUCUUUCUUUCUUUCUUUCUUUCUUUCUUUCUUUCUUUCUUUCUUUCUUUCUUUCUUUCUUUCUUUCCUCUUCUUUUCUCCCUCCCUUCUUCCUUCCCUCCCCCUGUCUCUCUUCUCUCUCUUUGUCUCUGUCUUCUCUCUCUGUCUCUAUCUCUCCCUUUCUCUCUUCCCCUCCUCCUCCUUUUCUUUCCCUUACCUUCUGUCUUAGCAUUAAUACUGUCUAUUGGUUUCAAGGCAGAAGAAUGGUGAUGACUAGGCAAAGGGGGUUAAAUGGCUCCCCAAAGAUCACACAGCUAAGAAGUAUCAAAAUUCAGAUUUGAAUCCGGGACCUCCCAAAUUUGAGCUGGGCUCUCAAUCCACUGAGCUGCCUAGCUGCACCAGGUCAUUUAUUUCUAAUUGGGCACAGGAAGAGUCAGGAAAGGAGGAGGCAGAACUUCAUCCUGAAGGAUGAAGCCUUCAACAAGAAGAGAUCUGAAGGGGAGCAUUCUACACCUAUGGAAGGGUAAAAACAAGUAGUCAAAAUCUGAUAUGGGUUCUGUCCCCCUGGAGGACAAUAGUCAAUGACAGUCAUCUCUCCUCUCCCCUUACCUCAGGCGUUCCUCCUUUUCCUUCAGACAAACAGAAUAGCUGAG